RNAcentral lists this ribosomal RNA (547 nucleotides) under uncultured bacterium. RNAcentral describes it as "partial 16S ribosomal RNA". It matches the Rfam family "Bacterial small subunit ribosomal RNA", at positions 355 to 895 of the family's 1533-position model. The record is from RNAcentral.
UGGGGAAUUUUGGACAAUGGGCGCAAGCCUGAUCCAGCCAUGCCGCGUGCGGGAAGAAGGCCUUCGGGUUGUAAACCGCUUUUGUCAGGGAAGAAAUCUUCUGAGUUAACACCUCGGGAGGAUGACGGUACCUGAAGAAUAAGCACCGGCUAACUACGUGCCAGCAGCCGCGGUAAUACGUAGGGUGCAAGCGUUAAUCGGAAUUACUGGGCGUAAAGCGUGCGCAGGCGGUUUUGUAAGACAGAGGUGAAAUCCCCGGGCUCAACCUGGGAACUGCCUUUGUGACUGCAAGGCUUGAGUGCGGCAGAGGGGGAUGGAAUUCCGCGUGUAGCAGUGAAAUGCGUAGAUAUGCGGAGGAACACCGAUGGCGAAGGCAAUCCCCUGGGCCUGCACUGACGCUCAUGCACGAAAGCGUGGGGAGCAAACAGGAUUAGAUACCCUGGUAGUCCACGCCCUAAACGAUGUCAACUGGUUGUUGGGAAGGUUCCUUCUCAGUAACGUAGCUAACGCGUGAAGUUGACCGCCUGGGGAGUACGGCCGCAAGGUU